This is a long non-coding RNA of Haliotis rubra (blacklip abalone), 371 nucleotides long. RefSeq lists it as uncharacterized. Lineage: Eukaryota; Metazoa; Mollusca; Gastropoda; Lepetellida; Haliotidae. The transcript is spliced from 2 exons. The record is from RefSeq and is a predicted model, not a curated record.
UAAUGCCACUGAUAAAUGUGCAAGUAGACACAUCAGCACAACAUACUGACAAGGCAUUCGGGAAAUAGAGCGACUUAUUGAAUCUGCAUUAUGUUUUACAAAUACCUUCUUCUCACUGUUCUUAUUCUCCUCGUUGUAGACUGCCAAGGCAACCCCAAUGCGUGUCAAGAGCUAAGAGGAGAAUGCAUCUCGCCCAAGAGACCAUGUGCAGGUUUCAUGAUGCAGGGUAUAUGUCCUGGAGGCAUGUCAUGCUGCAUACAACCAACUUAGUGAGUCGACACCUUCAGUCCACGUGUGAACGGGAUCUGCCUCAUCGCUGCAUCACCUGUUAUCCGUCUUGACUGAUUAAAGAAUAUGACUACAUGUAGUCA